Molecule: ribosomal RNA, 1542 nt
Filed under: Enterobacter hormaechei
Lineage: Bacteria; Pseudomonadati; Pseudomonadota; Gammaproteobacteria; Enterobacterales; Enterobacteriaceae
Also listed under: 2 other names
Description: 16S ribosomal RNA
Rfam family: Bacterial small subunit ribosomal RNA
Source: RNAcentral
AAAUUGAAGAGUUUGAUCAUGGCUCAGAUUGAACGCUGGCGGCAGGCCUAACACAUGCAAGUCGAACGGUAACAGGAAGCAGCUUGCUGCUUCGCUGACGAGUGGCGGACGGGUGAGUAAUGUCUGGGAAACUGCCUGAUGGAGGGGGAUAACUACUGGAAACGGUAGCUAAUACCGCAUAACGUCGCAAGACCAAAGAGGGGGACCUUCGGGCCUCUUACCAUCGGAUGUGCCCAGAUGGGAUUAGCUAGUAGGUGGGGUAACGGCUCACCUAGGCGACGAUCCCUAGCUGGUCUGAGAGGAUGACCAGCCACACUGGAACUGAGACACGGUCCAGACUCCUACGGGAGGCAGCAGUGGGGAAUAUUGCACAAUGGGCGCAAGCCUGAUGCAGCCAUGCCGCGUGUAUGAAGAAGGCCUUCGGGUUGUAAAGUACUUUCAGCGGGGAGGAAGGCGAUAAGGUUAAUAACCUUGUCGAUUGACGUUACCCGCAGAAGAAGCACCGGCUAACUCCGUGCCAGCAGCCGCGGUAAUACGGAGGGUGCAAGCGUUAAUCGGAAUUACUGGGCGUAAAGCGCACGCAGGCGGUCUGUCAAGUCGGAUGUGAAAUCCCCGGGCUCAACCUGGGAACUGCAUUCGAAACUGGCAGGCUAGAGUCUUGUAGAGGGGGGUAGAAUUCCAGGUGUAGCGGUGAAAUGCGUAGAGAUCUGGAGGAAUACCGGUGGCGAAGGCGGCCCCCUGGACAAAGACUGACGCUCAGGUGCGAAAGCGUGGGGAGCAAACAGGAUUAGAUACCCUGGUAGUCCACGCCGUAAACGAUGUCGACUUGGAGGUUGUGCCCUUGAGGCGUGGCUUCCGGAGCUAACGCGUUAAGUCGACCGCCUGGGGAGUACGGCCGCAAGGUUAAAACUCAAAUGAAUUGACGGGGGCCCGCACAAGCGGUGGAGCAUGUGGUUUAAUUCGAUGCAACGCGAAGAACCUUACCUACUCUUGACAUCCAGAGAACUUUCCAGAGAUGGAUUGGUGCCUUCGGGAACUCUGAGACAGGUGCUGCAUGGCUGUCGUCAGCUCGUGUUGUGAAAUGUUGGGUUAAGUCCCGCAACGAGCGCAACCCUUAUCCUUUGUUGCCAGCGGUCCGGCCGGGAACUCAAAGGAGACUGCCAGUGAUAAACUGGAGGAAGGUGGGGAUGACGUCAAGUCAUCAUGGCCCUUACGAGUAGGGCUACACACGUGCUACAAUGGCGCAUACAAAGAGAAGCGACCUCGCGAGAGCAAGCGGACCUCAUAAAGUGCGUCGUAGUCCGGAUUGGAGUCUGCAACUCGACUCCAUGAAGUCGGAAUCGCUAGUAAUCGUGGAUCAGAAUGCCACGGUGAAUACGUUCCCGGGCCUUGUACACACCGCCCGUCACACCAUGGGAGUGGGUUGCAAAAGAAGUAGGUAGCUUAACCUUCGGGAGGGCGCUUACCACUUUGUGAUUCAUGACUGGGGUGAAGUCGUAACAAGGUAACCGUAGGGGAACCUGCGGUUGGAUCACCUCCUUA